This 514-nucleotide ribosomal RNA is filed under the name uncultured bacterium. RNAcentral describes it as "bacterial SSU rRNA". It matches the Rfam family "Bacterial small subunit ribosomal RNA", at positions 19 to 518 of the family's 1533-position model. The record is from RNAcentral.
AUGGCUCAGGACGAACGCUGGCGGCGUGCCUAACACAUGCAAGUCGAGCGGGGACAUUGCGACGGAGACGAAGUACUCGUACGGAGUCAAAGAUGUAAUGGUUCUAGCGGCGGACGGGUGAGUAACGCGUGAGCAACCUGUCCCUUACAGGGGGAUAACACAGCGAAAGUUGUACUAAUACCGCAUAAGACCACAGGAUGACAUCGUCCAGGGGUCAAAGGAGCAAUCCGGUAAGGGGUGGGCUCGCGUCCGAUUAGAUAGUUGGUGAGGUAACGGCCCACCAAGUCGACGAUCGGUAGCCGACCUGAGAGGGUGAUCGGCCACAUUGGGACUGAGACACGGCCCAAACUCCUACGGGAGGCAGCAGUGGGGAAUAUUGGCAAUGGGGGAAACCCUGACCCAGCAACGCCGCGUGAGGGAAGAAGGUUUUCGGAUCGUAAACCUCUGUCCCAGGUGAAGAGGAAGAGACGGUAGCCUGGGAGGAAGCCCCGGCUAACUACGUGCCAGCAGCAGC